This 405-nucleotide ribosomal RNA is filed under the name uncultured bacterium. RNAcentral's name for it is "bacterial SSU rRNA". It matches the Rfam family "Bacterial small subunit ribosomal RNA", at positions 1 to 281 of the family's 1533-position model. The record is from RNAcentral.
AACCCAACACCGAUCAGCCGGUCUCGCGAAUGCCCUAGGNUUAAGUUAUGAUCAUGGCUCAGAUCCGAACGCUNUAAGGCAUGCCUUACACAUGCAAGUCGAACGGUAACAAGUCUAUCGGACGCUGACGAGUGGCGAACGGGUAGAGUAAUACAUACGGAACGUGCCCAGUCGUGGGGGAUAACUACUACGAAAGAGUAGCUAAUACCGCAUACGAUCUNGAGGAUAGAAAGCGGGGGACCUUCGGGCCUACGCGCGAUUAGGAGCGGCCGAUGGCAGAUAUAAGGUAAGUAUAGGUCAGGGACUAAAACAGCUUAACCAAAGGCCGAACGAUACUANGUAACGCUAGGAUACUAGAGAAGGACGACCCAGCCCAACAACUUAGGGAACUAGAGAACAACGGCC